Molecule: ribosomal RNA, 503 nt
Filed under: uncultured bacterium
Lineage: Bacteria
Description: partial 16S ribosomal RNA
Rfam family: Bacterial small subunit ribosomal RNA
Source: RNAcentral
AUUGAACGCUGGCGGCAGGCUUAACACAUGCAAGUCGAGCGGGGUGAUGGUGCUUGCACUAUCACUUAGCGGCGGACGGGUGAGUAAUGCUUAGGAAUCUGCCUAUUAGUGGGGGACAACAUCUCGAAAGGGAUGCUAAUACCGCAUACGUCCUACGGGAGAAAGCAGGGGAUCACUUGUGACCUUGCGCUAAUAGAUGAGCCUAAGUCGGAUUAGCUAGUUGGUGGGGUAAAGGCCUACCAAGGCGACGAUCUGUAGCGAGGCUGAUAGGAUUAGACGGCACACUUGGACGGAGACACGGCCCAGACUGCGACAGGAAGCAGCAGUUGGGAAUAUUGGACAAGUGGGGGAAACCUGAUCCAGCCUUGCCGCGUGUGUGAAGAGGGCCUUAUGGUUGUAAAGCACUUUAAGCGAGGAGGAGGCUCUUUUGGUUAAUACCCAAGAUGAGUGGACGUUACUCGCAGAAUAAGCACCGGCUAACUCUGUGCCAGCCGCCGCGGUAA